This 372-nucleotide ribosomal RNA is filed under the name uncultured organism. Its description in RNAcentral is "bacterial SSU rRNA". It matches the Rfam family "Bacterial small subunit ribosomal RNA", at positions 526 to 896 of the family's 1533-position model. The record is from RNAcentral.
CAGAGGGGGCAAGCGUUGUUCGGAAUUACUGGGCGUAAAGGGCGCGUAGGCGGCCUUCUAAGUCGAACGUGAAAUCCCCGGGCUCAACCCGGGAACUGCGUCCGAGACUGAAAGGCUUGAAUCCGGGAGAGGGAUGUGGAAUUCCAGGUGUAGCGGUGAAAUGCGUAGAUAUCUGGAGGAACAUCGGUGGCGAAGGCGGCAUCCUGGACCGGUAUUGACGCUGAGGCGCGAAAGCCAGGGGAGCAAACGGGAUUAGAUACCCCGGUAGUCCUGGCCCUAAACGAUGAAUGCUUGGUGUGGCGGGUAUCGAUCCCUGCCGUGCCGAAGCUAACGCAUUAAGCAUUCCGCCUGGGGAGUACGGUCGCAAGGCUG